CGAAUGCAUUUUAGUUUUGAUUAGCAUAGAAGCAUGGCCUGGACUUAAAUUACAGAUGUUACUGUUAAGGUACAGACAGAGGCGAGGUUCUCUGAUGUGUCGACAAAUAACAUACGGGAAGAUUCCACCUGUAUUGAGGAGAGCAGAUUACACCCGUAUUGAGCUCCGAGCCGUCACCAACGUUUUACCGCGGAGGCGACAACUGCGCGUCUAUAGCCGCUUCUGAAAACUACGAAAGGAUUCAAACCAGCCACUGCUGCCUGUGGUUCUCAACUGGCCAGGAAUUGUCCCAGAUGCAGUCAUGAGGAAUCCAUCUUCACAAACUGCAAGUGGCAAAGAAAUUCACCAGAGACCUUCACAUCUGUUAAGAUCUGAGUAUAUUUAACAGAGAGGGUUGUGCUGGUCCCUAGUGAACACCUGAUGGUCAACAUGCGAGUCCGUAUGCAGAACUGGUGACAGUGCACACUUUAAGUUCCAGUAAUCAUCCAACAUCAUGUCUGUGUGAAACUCUAUCCCAUGAUGAGCACCCUCUUCGGUCAAGUCUGGACUCAGUGACUCAUUAUUCUUGAUCAACCAGGGCAAGUUGCUUAUCCUUUAUAUAUAUAUGGAUGCAUGCUGCUUUUUUUCAGCAUCUCAGCACUGCUUUGUGAGUAUCCUGUUCAUUUAAUUAAUGCAAGAAAAGUUUCUUAAAGUUCAUCAAAAUAGUCUGUACCUUGGAUUGUAAUGAGUGUUAUUUGUUAUACAUACAUCAUCUAAACCGCUUAUCCUUCUGGGUCGCGGUGGGGUGCUGGAGCCUAUCCCAGCUGUCAUUGGGCGGAAGGCAGGAUACACCCUGGACAGGUCGCCAGUCCAUCGCAGGGCAGACAGACAUACAUAUAC
Long non-coding RNA from Colossoma macropomum (tambaqui), 879 nucleotides. RefSeq lists it as uncharacterized. The record is from RefSeq and is a predicted model, not a curated record. The transcript has 4 exons. NCBI's taxonomy places the organism in Eukaryota, Metazoa, Chordata, Actinopteri, Characiformes, Serrasalmidae.